This 107-nucleotide small nuclear RNA is filed under the name Notamacropus eugenii (tammar wallaby). The record is from RNAcentral. Lineage: Eukaryota; Metazoa; Chordata; Mammalia; Diprotodontia; Macropodidae.
GUGCUUGCUUUGGCAGCACAUAUACUAAAACUGUAAUGUUACAGAGAAGAUUAUUUUGGCCCUUGUUCAAGGAUGGCAUACAAGUUUGUGAAGUGUUCCAUAUUUUU